RNAcentral lists this ribosomal RNA (265 nucleotides) under uncultured archaeon. RNAcentral describes it as "partial 16S ribosomal RNA". It matches the Rfam family "Archaeal small subunit ribosomal RNA", at positions 748 to 1009 of the family's 1478-position model. The record is from RNAcentral.
AGGGUGUAAACGCUGCAGACUUGGUGUUGGAGGCCCUUUGGGGGCGAUUCAGUGCCGGAGAGAAGUUGUUAAGUCUGCUACUUGGGGAGUACGUCCGCAAGGAUGAAACUUAAAGGAAUUGGCGGGGGGAGGCACCACAACGGGUGGAGCCUGCGGGUUUAAUUGGACUCAACGCCGGGAAGCUCACCGGAUAAGACAGCGGAAUGAUUGCCGGGCUGAAGACUCUGCAUGACUAGCUGAGAGGUGGUGCAUGGCGUAGACGUGU